GGACGAACGCUGGCGGCGUGCUUAACACAUGCAAGUCGUACGGUAAGGCCCUUUCGGGGGUACACGAGUGGCGAACGGGUGAGUAACACGUGAGUAACCUGCCCACAACUUUGGGAUAACGCUAGGAAACUGGUGCUAAUACUGGAUAUGUGCUCCUGCUGCAUGGUGGGGGUUGGAAAGCUCCGGCGGUUGUGGAUGGACUCGCGGCCUAUCAGCUUGUUGGUGGGGUAGUGGCCUACCAAGGCGGCGACGGGUAGCCGGCCUGAGAGGGUGACCGGCCACAUUGGGACUGAGAUACGGCCCAGACUCCUACGGGAGGCAGCAGUGGGGAAUAUUGCACAAUGGGCGCAAGCCUGAUGCAGCAACGCCGCGGGCGGGAUGACGGCCUUCGGGUUGUAAACCGCUUUCAGCAGGGACGAAGCUUUUUGUGACGGUACCUGCAGAAGAAGCACCGGCUAACUACGUG
Molecule: ribosomal RNA, 466 nt
Filed under: uncultured bacterium
Lineage: Bacteria
Description: partial 16S ribosomal RNA
Rfam family: Bacterial small subunit ribosomal RNA
Source: RNAcentral